This 429-nucleotide ribosomal RNA is filed under the name Pseudomonadota bacterium. RNAcentral's name for it is "Proteobacteria bacterium partial 16S ribosomal RNA". It matches the Rfam family "Bacterial small subunit ribosomal RNA", at positions 355 to 776 of the family's 1533-position model. The record is from RNAcentral. Lineage: Bacteria; Pseudomonadati; Pseudomonadota.
UGGGGAAUAUUGGACAAUGGGCGAAAGCCUGAUCCAGCCAUGCCGCGUGUGUGAAGAGGGUCUUCGGAUUGUAAAGCACUUUAAGUUGGGAGGAAGGGCAGUAAGCGAAUACCUUGCUGUUUUGACGUUACCGACAGAAUAAGCACCGGCUAACUCUGUGCCAGCAGCCGCGGUAAUACAGAGGGUGCAAGCGUUAAUCGGAAUUACUGGGCGUAAAGCGCGCGUAGGUGGUUCGUUAAGUUGAAUGUGAAAGCCCCGGGCUCAACCUGGGAACUGCAUCCAAAACUGGCGAGCUAGAGUAGGGCAGAGGGUGGUGGAAUUUCCUGUGUAACGGUGAAAUGCGUAGAUAUAGGAAGGAACACCAGUGGCGAAGGCGACCACCUGGGCUCAUACUGACACUGAGGUGCGAAAGCGUGGGGAGCAAACAGG